AUAUAUAUAUAUAUAUAUAUAUAUAUUGAUUCAAGAAUCUAAAAGAUCAUCAGAGCAAUGACAACAGGGAAUUGCUGAAGAAUGUAAUUUACAGAACAUGAAUGAAGUUGGAACAGAGUGUUUAGAUGACCCAAGAAAAAGUACAGAGAAUAUAGAGUUUGUGGGGUGUUCUUGAAAAUAAGUAGAGAAGGAAGAACUACUUAGAUUGAAUUGAUAACACCCCACCCCAGAACCAAACCGACCGACGAUUAAAGAUUAAUGUAUCUGUGCGUAUACCGAUACGUCUGUUUGUGGAGUGGGUUUUGUAUUGUAGGGGUGUUUGCAUGAGCAAAGAGCCUUGGAGAGGGAGGGAGCAACCACAACCAACAACAGUUGCCGAACCGGAAACCGUG
RNAcentral lists this long non-coding RNA (392 nucleotides) under Panax ginseng (ginseng). RNAcentral describes it as "long non-coding RNA (PGIN_LNC017566)". The record is from RNAcentral. Lineage: Eukaryota; Viridiplantae; Streptophyta; Magnoliopsida; Apiales; Araliaceae.